Molecule: ribosomal RNA, 510 nt
Filed under: uncultured bacterium
Lineage: Bacteria
Description: partial 16S ribosomal RNA
Rfam family: Bacterial small subunit ribosomal RNA
Source: RNAcentral
GACGAACGCUGGCGGCGUGCUUAACACAUGCAAGUCGAACGAAGAGCGAUGGAAGCUUGCUUCUAUCAAUCUUAGUGGCGAACGGGUGAGUAACGCGUAAUCAACCUGCCCUUCAGAGGGGGACAACAGUUGGAAACGACUGCUAAUACCGCAUACGAUCUGACCUCGGCAUCGAGGAUAGAUGAAAGGUGGCCUCUAUUUAUAAGCUAUCACUGAAGGAGGGGAUUGCGUCUGAUUAGCUAGUUGGAGGGGUAACGGCCCACCAAGGCGAUGAUCAGUAGCCGGUCUGAGAGGAUGAACGGCCACAACGGGACUGAGACACGGCCCAGACUCCUACGGGAGGCAGCAGUGGGGAAUCUUCCGCAAUGGACGAAAGUCUGACGGAGCAACGCCGCGUGAGUGAUGACGGCCUUCGGGUUGUAAAGCUCUGUUAAUCGGGACGAAAGGCCUUCUUGCGAAUAGUUAGAAGGAUUGACGGUACCGGAAUAGAAAGCCACGGCUAACUACGUG